GAGAGAAUAGAGUGAGAUUUUCAUCAUGUUUUAGUUGUUUUCUUCAAAAAUCCUAUUUCAUGAAAGUUAUAGUAUAGGAUCCUGUGAUCAUAGCCUUGGUCUUAGAACAUCUAUAGGAGUUCAUAUGAGUGAGAUAUGGCCACCUUUAGCCACGAGCUCCUUGAUGCCACCUUGAAAAAGGAUGGUUUUUUUGAAGUCUGUUCGGUUCUAAGUUGAUUUCUGGGUCCCGUUAACCUAUCUAAGUUUGGAAUCAAGAAAAGUGAUUUAAGCGGAUCAGUUUCAAGUAUUAAGUAUAAGGAAAGCUGCUUACAGGUACAUCAGUAGCAGGAGAGCCUCAAAAGGGCAAGGACAAGUGCAGUGAGGACAGAGGACUCAACAGGAGUGGACACUUAGUUAUUUGAACUACUGUAUAUGACAUGUUUUGAUACUGCAUAAAGUAUAUGAUUAUGCAAUAUAUGUCAUGUAUGUUCAGUUUUAUAAAUUGUAAAAUAAACUAAAGAAUUCUAUGCAGGUAUGGGACUGUAUAGAUAAUAUAAAAAUAUAAAUGGUAAAUGGAAAAAGUUAAGUCUUCCGCUUCAGGAUUUAAUUAUCCACGCUUUAAAGUACAAUACAUAAGUUAACAAUCCGAUUAUAAAAUUGGGGCCUUACAGUAGGCUAUUGGGGGUUUGUGGACCCUAGAUUGAUGAAGUUAAACUUCUGUAAUUAAUGAACUAAGUCAGAAUCAUGUGAUUAAGGGCUUAUGGCUUUGAGGAAAGCCUUAAGACGUAAAACGUAAAAGGAAAACGUAGUCUUUACGUUAAUGCUUUUGAGCUAUGUAUGUUGAUUUGCUUGCGGGUCCUAAAUCAGAUUGUGAUCUGUUGUGUGUUGGACUUGGGCUGU
Molecule: long non-coding RNA, 879 nt
Organism: Gastrolobium bilobum
Lineage: Eukaryota; Viridiplantae; Streptophyta; Magnoliopsida; Fabales; Fabaceae
Exons: 3
Source: RefSeq, a predicted model, not a curated record